CAAUCAUAGCCCUAACUAUCCCCAACUAAACUAAUCAUAACUCUAACUAAAACAUUUUCUUGAUCUUAGUAUAGGAGAUAGAAAAGAUAACCUAGGCGCCAUAACAUUAGUACCGCAAGGGAACAUUGAAAGAUAAAUUAAAAGCACAAAAAAGCAAAGACUAACCCUUAUACCUUUUGCAUAAUGAUUUAGCCAGUCAACACAGACAAAAUGAACUACGCCUGACCCCCCGAAAUUAAGUGAGCUACUGUAAAACAGUCAUACAGAACCAACUCGUCUAUGUAGCAAAAUAGUGAGAAGAUUUUAUAGUAGAAGUGAAAAACCUAUCGAACUUAAUGAUAGCUGGUUAUCCAAAAAAUGGAUCUUAGUCCAACUUUAAGUCUUAUAAAGCACUACUAAUAUAAGCAUACUUUAGACUUAAAACCUAAUCAAUAGAGGGACAACUCUUCUGAUCAAGUAAACAAACUCUAUUAGAGGGUAAUGGUGACCACAAACUUCCAUUGUAGGCUUAAAAGCAGCCAACAAUUAAGAAAGCGUUAAAGCUCAAAUACACUUAACAAUUUAAUACCAAGAACAAAUCAAAACCCCUAAUUGACUAUUGGAUGAUUCUAUUUAAAUUUAGAAGACAUAAUGCUAAAAUCAGUAAUAAGAACUAAUUCUCCUCGCACAAGCCUAAGUUAGCAAACGGAUACCCCACUAACAAUUAACAAAACUAUAUUUUAACCCACAAACUAGGCUAUUUACCCUAAACAUUGUUAACCCAACACAGGAAUGCGAAAACUUUAAAAGGAAAGAUUAAAAAGAAUAAAAGGAACUCGGCAAACUAAUAUAACCCCGCCUGUUUACCAAAAACAUCACCUCUAGCAUUACAAGUAUUAGAGGCACUGCCUGCCCAGUGAGUUAGACUUUAACGGCCGCGGUAUCCUGACCGUGCAAAGGUAGCAUAAUCACUUGUCUCUUAAAUAGAGACUUGUAUGAAUGGCAUAACGAGGGUUUAACUGUCUCUUUUUCUCAAUCAAUGAAAUUGACCUACCCGUGCAGAGGCGGGUAUAAUCUUAUAAGACGAGAAGACCCUGUGGAGCUUAAGAUUAAUAACUUACCUGACUAUGACUUCUAACCUAAUGGAUCAAAACCAUAAACUUCUAAGUUAUAAUCUUUGGUUGGGGUGACCUCGGAGAAUAAAUUAACCUCCGAAUGAUAUAACCAAGAUAAACACAUCUAAGUGCAUAAAGCCAGUAAUUGACCCAAACUCUUGAUCAACGGAACAAGUUACCCCAGGGAUAACAGCGCAAUCCUAUUUAAGAGCCCAUAUCGACAAUUAGGGUUUACGACCUCGAUGUUGGAUCAGGACAUCCUAAUGGUGCAACCGCUAUUAAGGGUUCGUUUGUUCAACGAUUAAAGUCCUACGUGAUCUGAGUUCAGACCGGAGAAAUCCAGGUCGGUUUCUAUCUAUACAUUAAUUUCUCCCAGUACGAAAGGACAAGAGAAAUAGGGCCAACAUAACUCACGCGCCCUUAUACCCAUUAAUGAAAAAAUCUAAACUAAUCAAACUUAUAUCUCAUUACUCUAGAAAAGAGCAC
Molecule: ribosomal RNA, 1580 nt
Filed under: Thylamys elegans (elegant fat-tailed opossum)
Lineage: Eukaryota; Metazoa; Chordata; Mammalia; Didelphimorphia; Didelphidae
Description: 16S ribosomal RNA
Rfam family: Bacterial large subunit ribosomal RNA
Source: RNAcentral